GAUGAAGAACGUAGCAAAAUGCGAUAAGUAAUGUGAAUUGCAGAAUUCAGUGAAUCAUCGAAUCUUUGAACGCACAUUGCGCCCGCCAGAAUACUGGCGGGCAUGCCUGUUCGAGCGUCAUUUCAACCCUCAAGCACAGCUUGGUGUUGGGACUCGCGUUAAUUCGCGUUCCUCAAAUUGAUUGGCGGUCACGUCGAGCUUCCAUAGCGUAGUAGUAAAACCCUCGUUACUGGUAAUCGUCGCGGCCACGCCGUUAAACCCCAACUUCUGAAUGUUGACCUCGGAUCAGGUAGGAAUACCCGCUGAACUUAAGCAUAUCAAUAAGCGGAGGA
This 332-nucleotide unclassified non-coding RNA is filed under the name soil metagenome. RNAcentral describes it as "partial contains 5.8S ribosomal RNA, internal transcribed spacer 2, and large subunit ribosomal RNA". The stretch from base 1 to 120 matches the Rfam family "5.8S ribosomal RNA", at positions 35 to 154 of the family's 154-position model. The record is from RNAcentral.